CACGGUCCUCCCCGCCAGACCGUUACUUACCUCUUCCACACACGGCCACAGCUGAACGACUCUUUUCUCCCUGUGUCACUGUUGGUGCAGGGACGUUCACUCGUCACCUCAAGUGCCGCCGUCUGUAUCUAUAGUUUCCGUGUACCUGGACGAACCUCACCUGUUACUCUACCUGACGGCGACACAGGAGAGCAAGACCGUCCUUCAUGCUAGCACAGAAGCAGCAUCAUGCACUGAAGACAUUUCUCCGAGGACCUUUUCACUAGGGUCAUUUCUACACCACCAGGUCAUAUCAAGUCAUCUCUACACUACCAAAUAACGUCAACACCACCAGCAAGUUACUCAACAUUACCAAGUCUCUUUGACGCUGAUUCAAAGUAAACGCAAGUCUUAUUUCCACGAAUUGCUGAACAACGUUUUUGUGUGAUUGUGGUACUAACCGAAGACGCUUCACGGAUCAGCUAUACUUCUGACAGACCUAUACUACCAUGGGUCCAGAUUCAACUCUUCUCGUCUACCUUAUUAUAACUGGUCUGGUGGUGGUGGGUUUGGCUAUGCACAUCUACGAGGGUGACGGAUGCCUUGACUACUGUCCCAAGUCCGUCAACUACAACCCUGUGUGUGGUACUAAUUACGUCACCUACAUCAACCCUACCUAUCUCCUCUGUCAGAAGAAGUGUGGAGAGCCAAACCUGGGCGUGGCGCACUUCUCCUCCUGCGUCGACUGGAUAAUCGGCAGAUUCAGGUUAUAAGACGACCUUCAGGAUGGGCCGAGUGACUGGUUCACUUCAGAAAUAUCCUUCCUUUAGAACCGUUUGUUUUGUUUCACCGACUGCCAUCCCGUUCAAAACUUAUUUCAAUUACUCGACUAUAGCCUUACAAAAAAUGUGGUCACCUUAAUCUUGAGGAUGAGAGCCUUAAGACAACUGAAUUUGAAUAUACCUGAAUAUGACCUCUUUCUUACACUAUACGAGGUAAAAAUAUAAGUUCAGGAUAUGUGCUCAACAUUUUGCUUUCCUCAGCUGGUGUUGAAAUGCUUUAUAUCAUCACUGUUCUGGUGUUAGUGUAGGUGGCGCUAUCUGCACCCUCAUACACUUGACAGAGUAACCAUAUAUCAUUGAUUUAUCAUCUAACACACGCGUGCAGGCUAGUUGUCAUUGAUUUAUCAUCUAACACACGCGUGCAGGCUAGUUGUCAUUGAUUUAUCAUCUAACACACGCGUGCAGGCUAGUCGCUGGCACGUGGAACAGCCUUAAAAUUAAAAAUUAUGGUAUAUAAUCCUUGGAUAAAAUUUUCUCCCAGAAUUAUGUAAUGUGACCGUGUCUGGUUAGGUUAGGUUAGGUUGUUUUGGUGCUUUAGCUUAAAAAAAGGUGCAUUUCAACUUCUUUAGUUACGAGGAAUGUUCAUCUAGAACCUUUGAGAAUCUAGACCCCCGACCUUUAGAGCGAGUCGGUGCGUGUCCAGUGUCCACUGUUGUUGGUGUAUAACUGUGGUGAGGUGUUACGACAGAGUUACUUAUAUAUUUGCUACUUAUUGUUCCUUUAUAGAUUGUCUAAUAAAAUAAAAAUUGAA
This is a long non-coding RNA of Homarus americanus (American lobster), 1572 nucleotides long. RefSeq lists it as uncharacterized. The transcript has 4 exons. The record is from RefSeq and is a predicted model, not a curated record. Lineage: Eukaryota; Metazoa; Arthropoda; Malacostraca; Decapoda; Nephropidae.